CCAGACUCCUACGGGAGGCAGCAGUGAGGAAUAUUGGUCAAUGGCCGGAAGGCUGAACCAGCCAAGCCGCGUGAGGGAGGAAGGCGCAGAGCGUCGCAGACCUCUUUUGCCGGGGGACAAAAGGCCGGACGGGUCCGGUUCUGAGGGUACCCGGAGAAAAAGCAUCGGCUAACUCCGUGCCAGCAGCCGCGGUAAUACGUAGGUGGCAAGCGUUAUCCGGAUUUACUGGGUGUAAAGGGCGUGUAGGCGGGACUGCAAGUCAGAUGUGAAAAUUAUGGGCUCAACCCAUAACCUGCAUUUGAAACUGUAGUUCUUGAGUGAUGGAGAGGCAGGCGGAAUUCCGUGUGUAGCGGUGAAAUGCGUAGAUAUACGGAGGAACACCAGUGGCGAAGGCGGCCUGCUGGACAUUAACUGACGCUGAGGCGCGAAAGCGUGGGGAGCCAACAGGAUUAGAUACCCUGGUA
Molecule: ribosomal RNA, 464 nt
Filed under: uncultured bacterium
Lineage: Bacteria
Description: bacterial SSU rRNA
Rfam family: Bacterial small subunit ribosomal RNA
Source: RNAcentral